GCGGUAUUGGUGAAGUGGUUAACACACUGGUUUGUGGUACCAGCACGCAUGGGUUCGAUUCCCAUAUACCGCCC
This 74-nucleotide transfer RNA is filed under the name Periweissella ghanensis. RNAcentral describes it as "tRNA-His". It matches the Rfam family "tRNA". Rfam says of the family: Transfer RNA (tRNA) molecules are approximately 80 nucleotides in length. Their secondary structure includes four short double-helical elements and three loops (D, anti-codon, and T loops). The record is from RNAcentral. Lineage: Bacteria; Bacillati; Bacillota; Bacilli; Lactobacillales; Lactobacillaceae.